GACGAACGCUGGCGGCGUGCUUAACACAUGCAAGUCGAACGGAAAGGCCCUGCUUUUGUGGGGUGCUCGAGUGGCGAACGGGUGAGUAACACGUGAGUAACCUGCCCUUGACUUUGGGAUAACUUCAGGAAACUGGGGCUAAUACCGGAUAGGAGCUCCUGCUGCAUGGUGGGGGUUGGAAAGUUUCGGCGGUUGGGGAUGGACUCGCGGCUUAUCAGCUUGUUGGUGGGGUAGUGGCUUACCAAGGCUUUGACGGGUAGCCGGCCUGAGAGGGUGACCGGGCACAUUGGGACGGGGGUACGGCCCAGACUCCCUAGGGGGGGAGGAGGGGGGGAUAUUGCAAAAUGGGGGGAAACCCGAUGCAGGAAAGGCGGGGGGGGGGAGAAGGGCUUCGGGGUGGAAACCCCUUUUCCCUGGGAAGAAGGGGGAGGGACGGUAAUGGGUAAAGGAACACCGGCUAACUACGUG
This 468-nucleotide ribosomal RNA is filed under the name uncultured bacterium. RNAcentral describes it as "partial 16S ribosomal RNA". It matches the Rfam family "Bacterial small subunit ribosomal RNA", at positions 28 to 507 of the family's 1533-position model. The record is from RNAcentral.